Molecule: non-coding RNA, 24 nt
Filed under: Arabidopsis thaliana (thale cress)
Lineage: Eukaryota; Viridiplantae; Streptophyta; Magnoliopsida; Brassicales; Brassicaceae
Source: RNAcentral
UCUACCGGAGCUGACCAGAUCCUU